This 84-nucleotide microRNA precursor is filed under the name Drosophila persimilis. RNAcentral describes it as "mir-2567 microRNA precursor family". It matches the Rfam family "mir-2567 microRNA precursor family". The record is from Rfam by way of RNAcentral. Lineage: Eukaryota; Metazoa; Arthropoda; Insecta; Diptera; Drosophilidae.
UUUUCAGUUUUUUACCAGGUUAGAUUUGCGAAACGUUCGAAUUUAGGUCGUAUCACAAUUCUAGCCUGGCAAUUUUGCUUGAAA